AUUGAACGCUGGCGGCAGGCCUAACACAUGCAAGUCGAGCGGUAACAUUUCUAGCUUGCUAGAAGAUGACGAGCGGCGGACGGGUGAGUAACGCGUGGGAAUCUACCUAGUAGUGGGGGACAACAGUUGGAAACGACUGCUAAUACCGCAUACGCCCUACGGGGAAGCGGAGGAUCUUCGGACUUCGUGCUAUUAGAUGAGCCCGCGUGAGAUUAGUUUGUUGGUGGGGUAAUGGCCUACCAAGACUACGAUCUCUAGCUGGUCUGAGAGGAUGAUCAGCCACACUGGAACUGAGACACGGUCCAGACUCCUACGGGAGGCAGCAGUGGGGAAUAUUGCCACAAUGGGCGAAAGCCUGAUGCAGCCAUGCCGCGUGUGUGAAG
RNAcentral lists this ribosomal RNA (383 nucleotides) under uncultured Gammaproteobacteria bacterium. RNAcentral's name for it is "bacterial SSU rRNA". It matches the Rfam family "Bacterial small subunit ribosomal RNA", at positions 30 to 410 of the family's 1533-position model. Lineage: Bacteria; Pseudomonadati; Pseudomonadota; Gammaproteobacteria. The record is from RNAcentral.